Molecule: ribosomal RNA, 253 nt
Filed under: Clostridioides difficile
Lineage: Bacteria; Bacillati; Bacillota; Clostridia; Peptostreptococcales; Peptostreptococcaceae
Description: partial 16S ribosomal RNA
Rfam family: Bacterial small subunit ribosomal RNA
Source: RNAcentral
AGUUCGGAUUGUAGGCUGAAACUCGCCUACAUGAAGCUGGAGUUACUAGUAAUCGCAGAUCAGAAUGCUGCGGUGAAUGCGUUCCCGGGUCUUGUACACACCGCCCGUCACACCACGGGAGUUGGAGACGCCCGAAGCCGAGUAUCUAACCUUUUGGAAGAAGUCGUCGAAGGUGGAAUCAAUAACUGGGGUGAAGUCGUAACAAGGUAGCCGUAUCGGAAGGUGCGGCUGGAUCACCUCCUUUCUAAGGAGA